UUUGUGGAGAGUUUGAUCCUGGCUCAGGACGAACGCUGGCGGCGUGCUUAACACAUGCAAGUCGAACGGAAAGGCCUGCAGCUUGCUGCGGGUACUCGAGUGGCGAACGGGUGAGUAACACGUGGGUGAUCUGCCUUGCACUUCGGGAUAAGCUUGGGAAACUGGGUCUAAUACCGGAUAGGACAGCUGUUUAGUGUCAGUUGUGGAAAGUUUUUUCGGUGCAAGAUGAGCUCGCGGCCUAUCAGCUUGUUGGUGGGGUAAUGGCCUACCAAGGCGUCGACGGGUAGCCGGCCUGAGAGGGUGUACGGCCACAUUGGGACUGAGAUACGGCCCAGACUCCUACGGGAGGCAGCAGUGGGGAAUAUUGCACAAUGGGCGGAAGCCUGAUGCAGCGACGCCGCGUGGGGGAUGAAGGCCUUCGGGUUGUAAACUCCUUUCGACAGGGACGAAGCGUAAGUGACGGUACCUGUAUAAGAAGCACCGGCUAACUACGUGCCAGCAGCCGCGGUAAUACGUAGGGUGCGAGCGUUGUCCGGAAUUACUGGGCGUAAAGAGCUCGUAGGUGGUUUGUCGCGUCGUCUGUGAAAUUCCGGGGCUUAACUCCGGGCGUGCAGGCGAUACGGGCUGACUUGAGUGCUGUAGGGGAGACUGGAAUUCCUGGUGUAGCGGUGAAAUGCGCAGAUAUCAGGAGGAACACCGAUGGCGAAGGCAGGUCUCUGGGCAGUAACUGACGCUGAGGAGCGAAAGCAUGGGUAGCGAACAGGAUUAGAUACCCUGGUAGUCCAUGCCGUAAACGGUGGGCGCUAGGUGUAGGGGGCUUCCACGUCUUCUGUGCCGUAGCUAACGCAUUAAGCGCCCCGCCUGGGGAGUACGGCCGCAAGGCUAAAACUCAAAGGAAUUGACGGGGGCCCGCACAAGCGGCGGAGCAUGUGGAUUAAUUCGAUGCAACGCGAAGAACCUUACCUG
This 966-nucleotide ribosomal RNA is filed under the name Corynebacterium striatum. Its description in RNAcentral is "bacterial SSU rRNA". It matches the Rfam family "Bacterial small subunit ribosomal RNA", at positions 1 to 977 of the family's 1533-position model. The record is from RNAcentral. Lineage: Bacteria; Bacillati; Actinomycetota; Actinomycetes; Mycobacteriales; Corynebacteriaceae.